ACGGAUAUCUUCCAAUUGGUAGGAUUAUGGUCCCCAAAACCAUCGAUGCUGGUUCGAGUCCAGCUAUCCGUG
Molecule: transfer RNA, 72 nt
Filed under: Klebsiella pneumoniae
Lineage: Bacteria; Pseudomonadati; Pseudomonadota; Gammaproteobacteria; Enterobacterales; Enterobacteriaceae
Also listed under: 2 other names
Description: tRNA-Trp
Rfam family: tRNA
About the family: Transfer RNA (tRNA) molecules are approximately 80 nucleotides in length.
Source: RNAcentral